RNAcentral lists this ribosomal RNA (687 nucleotides) under Triticum aestivum (bread wheat). Its description in RNAcentral is "partial small subunit ribosomal RNA". The record is from RNAcentral. Lineage: Eukaryota; Viridiplantae; Streptophyta; Magnoliopsida; Poales; Poaceae.
AUGCCCGUGGCCCCGCCUUCCUGUGACUCCACCGCGCCGUUCUCUGCUAGCCUCCUCCCCGUGCUGACGAACUCCUGCCUGAGCCGCUCUCUCCGACCAACUCUUCUGCUGACGCCGCCCGGACCUACUUGCGUCCGCCCGAGUCCCCUUAUGCACUAUACAAGCCAAGCUCAGCCAUCCCAUCGAGCUCCUACACAAGCUGCCCGAGACCUUGGCCAGAACCGCAAGUCGUUGCCUCUUUGCACCUGCGAUGUGUUGUCGUGGACGCAUGCAACCCUGGAAUCAAUCCCAAGCCCCAAGUACCACGAUACUACGAAGACCGGAUCGACAAGUACCAUGACGUCCGUCGGUCAUCAAGUACCCUCGGAUACGUCAAGUUCAUCUACCAUCGCAAGAAUCGAGACCGGCAAGUUCGAAGACCCCAAGUACCUCUUCGGAACGACCGAGUACCAUUACCGUCGGACGCUCGAACGACUACAGGCCGAAAUGUCAAGUUCCUCGAUGAACCGUGUACGACUACCGUUUCUCGUGGAUUCACCUAAGUACCAUGAAAUGGACGACCCUACAAGUUCAACUACAGUUGCCGUGUACGACUACCGUCGCCUCGGAGCUCUUGGGUUCAUCAAGUUCCUCUUCGGAAAAGUACCACUACUUCCACGACGAUACGAGAACAACUACCCUCGUUGA